GAUGAACGCUGGCGGCGUGCCUAAUACAUGCAAGUCGAACGCAUUGUGGUUGAAAUGAUAUGAAGAACUUGUUCAGAUUUGAUUUUCAACAUUGCAAUGAGUGGCGAACGGGUGAGUAACACGUGGGAAACCUACCUCUUAGCAGGGGAUAACAUUUGGAAACAAAUGCUAAUACCGUAUAAUAAUUAAAACCGCAUGGUUUUAGUUUAAAAGAUGGUCUUGCUAUCACUAAGAGAUGGUCCCGCGGUGUAUUAGUUUGUUGGUGAGGUAAUGGCUCACCAAGACAAUGAUACAUAGCCGAGUUGAGAGACUGACCGGCCACAAUGGGACUGAGACACGGCCCAUA
RNAcentral lists this ribosomal RNA (346 nucleotides) under uncultured bacterium. RNAcentral's name for it is "bacterial SSU rRNA". It matches the Rfam family "Bacterial small subunit ribosomal RNA", at positions 28 to 335 of the family's 1533-position model. The record is from RNAcentral.